GAAGGAAAAUUAAUUACAGAGGCAGUUUUCAAAGAAAGCAAUAUCCAGCUGUUUGCAAUACAUCGCAGUAGUACCAAGCUUCUGGCUGUGAAACAUCCAGCAGGCUGUAACUUAGCAAUGGUUAUUGGCCCAUAAAUUGCCACAAUCUUAUACCAAUCUGAAGGAUUCUGAAGAUAUUAAAAUAAGUGGCACAAAAGGAACUAAAGAGCCUGCAAGAGCAUGGGGAGGAUGCAGCAGCACUGCUUUCAGGUCAGUGCCUGGAAGAAGCAGAUUCCUGUGUGAUAGAGGUUACCAGUCUUUCAGAAUUACAAGAGGAAGCCCUGCACGUGAAUUUAAAAAAUAUUGAUCCUCAG
Molecule: long non-coding RNA, 353 nt
Organism: Lepidothrix coronata (blue-crowned manakin)
Lineage: Eukaryota; Metazoa; Chordata; Aves; Passeriformes; Pipridae
Exons: 4
Source: RefSeq, a predicted model, not a curated record